This 1116-nucleotide ribosomal RNA is filed under the name Triticum aestivum (bread wheat). RNAcentral's name for it is "partial small subunit ribosomal RNA". The record is from RNAcentral. Lineage: Eukaryota; Viridiplantae; Streptophyta; Magnoliopsida; Poales; Poaceae.
AUGCGUAGGAACAGGCCGCGGCAGAGCGCAGCGUCCAUCGAACUGGAAGACGACGAGCACAUCAUAACCGAACUUGAGCUCUGGCAAGGGAUGGGACCUAGGCGGUUCUGCCACACCGAGCUUGCCGCCGCAACGGACAACUUCGCCGAGGAGAGGAAGAUAGGGAGAGGGGGGUUCGGUUCGGUGUAUAGGGGCUACUUGAGUGACCAAGACCGUCAUGUGGCCAUCAAGACGCUCUCACAGGAGCUGUCGGUGCAGGGGCUCCGGGAGUUUCAGGCAGAGGUCGCCAUCAUGAGCCAGCUUAGGCACCGCAACAUAGUCCAGCUCGUGGGCUGGUGCCGUCGUCGGAGAGGAGGACUGGCGCUCGUCUACGAGCUCGUGGACGGAGGCAGCCUCGACACCCAUCUCUACAAUCCCGACAGAUGCUUAACUUUGUCGGAGAGGUACAAUAUCGCGCUCGGCCUGGGCUCCGCCCUGCGGUACCUCCACACGGACUGCCACCAGUGCGUCGUGCACGGCGACAUCAAGCCCGCGAACGUGAUGCUCGAGGCAUCAGGCAGCGCUAAGCUCGGCGACUUCGGGCCCGCGAGGCUCGUCGACCACGGAGCCGAGCCACGGACGACGCAGGUCGUCGCGGGGACCCUCGGGUACAUCGACCCAGAGUUCGUCAGCAGCCGCCGGCCGAGGGCCGAGUCCGACGUGUACAGCUUCGGCGUCGUGCUCCUCGAGAUCGCCUGUGGCAGGCGGCCCGCGUCGAGGCGAACCGGCCAGGCCUCGGCGGCGCUGCUGACCUCGGUCCGCGACUUGUACCACCGGAACCUGAUCGUGGACGCGGCGGACGAGCCUGGCGAGUUUGACAAGCUGCAGAUGGAGCGUCUGCUCGUGACGGGGCUUUGGUGCGCGCACCACGACCGGUUGCAGCGGCCGUCCGUUACGCAGGCUAUGGAUGUGCUACGGUCCGAAGACGCCAGGUUGCCGGUGCUUGUAGCGAUAGCGAUGCCUGGUUCCGGGGAGAUUCGAUCGUUGGAGGGGCAGGCUUAUGGCGAUGUGUCUGACGACAACUCUGGUUACUUGAAUGAAUCAACUGAAACUGCGUACCUUACUAGCGAGGAGUGA